GUGAAUGAUAGAGGCGCAGUGUAUUAAGAGUAAUUAUCCCGAGCGGGUCAGGCUAGGACGGAUAAGGAAAGGAAUCGCUGCCGAAGCAAAGGCCCAGGACAAAGGGUCUUAGCUGGUCUUCCAUUGAAAAAAUGUAAGACUGUCACCGGGACUCCGGUGGAGUGCUAUCUCGUGA
Regulatory RNA element from Desulfitobacterium hafniense Y51, 175 nucleotides. It matches the Rfam family "Lysine riboswitch aptamer". Rfam says of the family: Riboswitches are metabolite binding domains within certain messenger RNAs that serve as precision sensors for their corresponding targets. Allosteric rearrangement of mRNA structure is mediated by ligand binding, and this results in modulation of gene expression. This family includes riboswitches that sense lysine in a number of genes involved in lysine metabolism, including lysC. NCBI's taxonomy places the organism in Bacteria, Bacillati, Bacillota, Clostridia, Eubacteriales, Desulfitobacteriaceae. The record is from Rfam.